UCAACCCUCAGUCAAUCCUUAAAAGAAUAAAGGAAUAAAUCUAUGAAAUUGACUGAAAUGUUAGGCAGUUUGUCUUCUCAGUCCGUCUGCUUGGUCAGGACAAACGAAGAGUUUCUGUGAACAUCCAUAUUCAAGCUUUGCCACAGAUUCUUCAUUGCAUUUAUUGUUUUUGUUUCGACUGCAUGUUUAGUAUCGUCGUCCUGUUGUGGUGAGCAUCAGCGCCAGGCUUAAACCUUCUCUGACUAAUGCUCUCCUCGUCCUUCAUGUUAGUUUAGGUGGACGGCCAUGUCUUGGUAGGUUUGUUAAAAGCUUAGGAUAGUUUAAAAACAAAUCUCACUGUCAGGGUUCCUGUGUGCAUGUGUGAGUGCGAGUAACACAUCUCUUCCUGCGAGGAUCUUGGUGGAGAGCCUGGGCAGCCUUCACAGGUGGAGCUCAUCUGCCUCAUCAGAGUGCUGGGGAUAAAGGAGCAGCAGAGCCUUCACUCAGUGCUGGAUGAUUAACUUCUACUGGAUUUGUCACUGCAUCUUUCUAGAGGAAUCAGUUCAACCAUUUUCUCCUCCUGUGGAACCCACCAGUAAGGACCUGCCUGCCUGCUCCACUGUUCACCCCAUCUCCACUCCUCUCAUCAGACCUCUGGUUCUCGGUCACCACCUACCUCGCACUCGCCUCAGGAAGCGCCAUCACCACUCCACACAGGACCCCUGGGCACCUCUCUCCCACGCUUCAUUAAACCCAUUCGAAAGUAAGCUUUAUCUACUUCAUCUGAUCAACUCAUUACAGACCACCAAUAACCCCAACUCUCGUUCCAGGCGCCAUGGAUUGCGUGACACUAACCGCUCCCAGAAACGUCAAGGAAACCUGUCAAUUGUUUGUUCCUUUGAAAGAAAAUAAAACCUAUUCAUUACUUGGA
Xiphophorus hellerii (green swordtail) is the source of this 910-nucleotide long non-coding RNA. RefSeq lists it as uncharacterized. The transcript has 2 exons. The record is from RefSeq and is a predicted model, not a curated record. Lineage: Eukaryota; Metazoa; Chordata; Actinopteri; Cyprinodontiformes; Poeciliidae.